GGAUGAACGCUGGCGGCGUGCCUAAUCCAUGCAAGUCGAGCGAACGGACGAGAAGCUUGCUUCUCUGAUGUUAGCGGCGGACGGGUGAGUAACACGUGGAUAACCUACCUAUAAGACUGGGAUAACUUCGGGAAACCGUAGCUAAUACCGGAUAAUAUUUUGAACCGCAUGGUUCAAAAGUGAAAGACGGUCUUGCUGUCACUUAUAGAUGGAUCCGCGCUGCAUUAGCUAGUUGGUAAGGUAACGGCUUACCAAGGCAACGAUGCAUAGCCGACCUGAGAGGGUGAUCGGCCACACUGGAACUGAGACACGGUCCAGACUCCUACGGGAGGCAGCAGUAGGGAAUCUUCCGCAAUGGGCGAAAGCCUGACGGAGCAACGCCGCGUGAGUGAUGAAGGUCUUCGGAUCGUAAAACUCUGUUAUUAGGGAAGAACAUAUGUGUAAGUAACUGUGCACAUCUUGACGGUACCUAAUCAGAAAGCCACGGCUAACUACGUG
Molecule: ribosomal RNA, 498 nt
Filed under: uncultured bacterium
Lineage: Bacteria
Description: partial 16S ribosomal RNA
Rfam family: Bacterial small subunit ribosomal RNA
Source: RNAcentral